This 1309-nucleotide long non-coding RNA is filed under the name Homo sapiens (human). RNAcentral describes it as "HSALNT0137669". Lineage: Eukaryota; Metazoa; Chordata; Mammalia; Primates; Hominidae. The record is from RNAcentral.
GUGAACUUGGUUGGACUGGCUCCAGAGUCUAUACUCCAAAUUAUUCCUCCUGGAUAAGACAUAGUUUUGAGUGGAGAAAGUCUCACCUGGCUCCCUUUUCGGUUAAUGGAUGUCUCCAGGAAGCCUCCUUGGUCCUACCUUCAAAGAUAGGUCUGAAACCCAGUGCAGCUUCCUGAUCCCUGGAGAACUUCCUUAAGGCGGCCUCCUGUAAGCUCUGCCAGCUGUCGCCCUCUGAUUUCUGAUGAACUGCAUUGCAACACUCCUCUGCAGUCUUGCCAGCCGUGGCUCUCUGGCCACCAUUAAACAUUUUUAAAGCAGCCCUCUACAACUUGUUGCAGGUGCAACUUUCUAUCAAAAAUAUUUCUUUCAUUUUGUCUUUUUGAAGUACCUAAGAAAUGGGAAAUUCUUUUCCUCAUUUUCAUUUGGCUUGUGUAGUUACACGUCCCAAAGGAGAAACAAAAACGCAAACACUGAGGAUAGGCAUAUAAGGAUUCUACUAGUUGGUGAUGAGCUGGGAACUGAAUAACUGAGUAUUCAGGAUGGCUGGGACAUCAAAGCUGACAGGAAUGUUAACAGACGAGAGUGUCUUGAUAUUCAUGGAACAAAGGAGCAGGGCUCCAAACAUUCGACUUUGAUUUAAUUGAGUUGCUUAUAUAAAAAUACUGGCUGCUCACAAGAAUCACCCUGGAAGCUUUAAAAAAUAGCAAUGCUUGUCCUACCACAAACCAGUAAAUCAGAAUUUCUGAUUUAAUAUAUACCAGAGAUACAUGAAUGUAUGUAUCAGAUUUCACACACACCAGUGGUAUGGAUAGUAUGUUAAUAAGUGCAAAGGAGGAAAGUUAAGUUUGAAAAGUCAAAUAGAAAAUUGUAUGUGUGUGUUUGGUGGAGAGGCUGCAAAUUAAAAAUUGAGUGGUUAGAGAAGAACUUCUGUUCCCUGUUUUUUUUCAUUUGCUAUUUUAUGAAAUUGUCUCAAUACAAUACAUAAUCCUCAGAAAAGGAAGUCUUGUACUAUAUCAAUGUCAGCUUGCAUUUAGUAAGUCAACAUUAUCAGCAUAAGGAACUUGUCUUGAGAGUAAAUAUUUGUAAGUUUGAAUAAGUGGGCCUGAUUGCAAUCUCAUAACUAAAAUGAGCCGGAAAGAAAGUGACUCACUGGAAUUACUGUUUGCAUUAGAUACUCUAUACUGAUACAUUGCAAUAUGUUCCGUAGGUCAUAAUAUUACUUCCUCAAAGACUAAGAUAUUCUGAGAGAGCAAAAGUUGAUUUUGUAUAAAUCAUUUUCUUUUGAAAUGUAAAUUGUGUUGCUUUUUAU